This 3837-nucleotide long non-coding RNA is filed under the name Cricetulus griseus (Chinese hamster). RNAcentral's name for it is "lncRNA (ENSCGRG00015042230.1)". The record is from RNAcentral. Lineage: Eukaryota; Metazoa; Chordata; Mammalia; Rodentia; Cricetidae.
UCCCUCUAUUCUGUCUGUACCUCAGGUCUCUUAGCUGUAAUAGAGGUGUGGAAGCAUGUCCCUUAGGGGUUGUUCUGAGUUUCCGUGGGAUUAGAGAAAUCCAUUGAGGGGCAUGCCUCAGCGGCUGCUUAGACUACCCAGCAUUCCCAUCUGAGCUUCCACUCUUCCACAUUAAUCAAAAAGAAUAUUUUCUAGUUCCUCCUAUUUGCUCAGUGCUCUGGAACGGGUUGGGGGUGAGUCUGUAGAAUACCAAGAAUCGAGGAUUCAAUUUGAAUCUUUUUUUUUCAUUUUUUAUUUAAUUUAGAAACAAGUUUGUUUUACAUGUCAAUCCCAGUCCCCUUUCCCUCCCCUCCUCCCCUGCCUCCUACUAACACCCUAUCUAUCCCAUACCAUAUCUGCUCCCCAGGAAGGGUGAGGCCUUCCAUGGAAGGUGUCUUCAGGAUCUGUCACAUCCUUUGGGAUAGGGCCUAGGCCCUUCCCCAUGUAUCUAGGUUGAAGGAGUAUCCCUCUAUGUGGAAUGGGCUCCCAAAGUCCAUUCCUAUGCUAAGGAUAAGUACUGAUCUACUACAAGAGGCCCCAUAGAUUUCCGAGGUCUCCUCACUGACACCCAUGUUCAUGGGAUCUGGAUCAGUCCCAUGCUGGUUUCCCAGCUAUCAGUCUGGGGACCAUGAGCUCCUCCUUGUUCAGGUCAGCUGUUUCUGUGGGUUUCACCAGCCUGGUCUUGACCCUUUUGCUCAUCACUCCUCCCUCUCUGUGACUGGAUUCCAGUUCAGUUCAGUGUUUAGCUGUGGGUGUCUGCUUCUAUUUCCAUCAGCUUCUGGAUGAAGGCUCUAGGAUGGUAUAUAAGUUAGUUGUCAAUCUCAUUAUCAUGGGAGGGCAUUUAAGGUAUCCUCUCCACUGUUGCUUAGGUUGUUAAUUGGUGUCAUCCUUAUAGAUCUCCAGGCAUUUCCCUAGUGCCUGAUUUCUCUUUAAACCUAUGAUGGCUCCCUCUAUUAUGGUAUCUCUUAUCUUGCUCUCCUCUAUUCUCCUCCCAACUCAACCUUCCUGCUCCCUCCUCAAUUUGAAUCUUAAAACUGCCAGAGCAGAAAGUGUUAGCUGUGACUUUUCACGUGAUCGCAACUACAGGAAGAAGUAGAGAGAGGGCAGCAAAGAGCUAUGGGGCAAAAGGGACUCUCGAGAUCAUAGAAAAGUCUUUAUCCUUUAGAAUGCUGAAUCAGGAUCCAGUAUCCCCAAGAAACCAUCCUAGUUCUCCCGUUUGCUUGCUUUGGGAGAUAGACGAGGCACCUCACCGGUCUAGUGCGUGCCUCCCAGUCUCCAAAAUGGGGACCGUCCCACCUAGCCCUAAGAGUUGCUGAGUUCUGCACCAGGGUUGCCUACAGGCAGAAGUAAAAACUAAACAAACCCUCACGCUGAAGCAGGAAGACAGGAGAGAUGAUUGGGGAGUUACAUAAAUAAGGUUGGUUUAAAUAAUAAACCAUCUGUUAUGACCAAAAUAAGGAUACAGUUUUUUGAUGGUGUGGUCAUUCUGUUUGUACCUCAGACAAUGCAACCUGAAAUGUGAGUCAAAGAGCACGUCUUUCUGUUCACUAGAUCCUGUUCAUUUUCCUGCUUCCUCUUGUACAGGCAAGACUGACUAGCUCUCAUAAUAAAGUGAGAGAGAUAUGAGUCAAAGACGAUGUAUAUCACACACUAGUAGUUCCUGUUCCUUUUCUUGCUUCCUCUGUACAGGGAAGACUAGCUCUCAUAAAAAAAAAUAAAAAAUAAAAAAGUGAGAGAAAGAGAUGUCUCUUAACCAGAAGCAUUGAAAAAAAAAAUCUCCAGGUCAGUGUUUCUCAAUCUGUGAGUCAAGACCCCCUUGGGAUUGUAAGUCAGAGAUCCUGCCUAUCAGAUAAUUGCAUUAUAAUACAUAAUAGUAGCAAAAUUACAGUUAUGAAGUAGCAACAAAAUAAUUUUCUGGUUGGGGGUCACCACAACUUGAGGAACUGUAGUAUUAAAGUGUUGUAGCAUUAGGAAGGUUGACCCCAACAUUAGAAAGGCUGGGAAUCAACUAGAGCCUAGGUGAUCCUUCAGCUUCCACCCUUCUCUGCCACAGAAGCAUUUGUUAGCCCAAAUCCCUCCAUGGGUGCACAUGAAUGAGAAACAUAACUUUGCUGUGUAAAGAUUAAUUAAAGGUCUGAGUGUUAUCACUGCAUAGCUGAAACUAUCUCAAUACAGCAACAGAAAAGAAAUGAAAAAGAAAGCAUGUUUGAUGAUAAGGAUCUAAUGUGACAGGAUUUACAGCCCAAAAGGGAUAUUAAAUUUUACAGUAUCAUUUUAUACUCACUAAAGGUUCAUUCCAUCAAAAUGAGGUGUCAUGACAUCUUAUGAAUUCAAAAUUUUAUAAAGAAAAUCUGUUUAAACAAAUAAGGAAGAGUUAGAGAGAUGAUUCCGUCAGCAAAAUGCUAGCUAUACCAGCAUGCAGAACUCAAUUUAAUGCACGGGAACCAAGUAACAAAAAGUUAAACAUGGUGCCCCAUGCUUGUAAUCCCAGGACUGAGAAGGUGAACACAGGAAGCUCCUGGGGGUGCACUGCUCAGACCACCAGCCUCCUUGGCAAGCCCCAGACCAGAGAGACAUCCUGUCUCAGAAAAAAAAAUUAUUUGUUUUGUUUUGUUUUUUUGGAAAAAAAAUUUUUAAAGUCUGUGACUCCUGAAGAAAACUAAAAGGUUCAGGCUUUAAUGCUGAUCAGCUCUACCUCUUUAAGAGACAGACCCAACCCCCUGACAACAGUCAGGGCACUCACAGUGACCUGCCAUCACCACAUCACCCACCUCGCAUUACGGCCUUCGUGAGGACUCUGCACACGCGUGGAACCUCAGUGCACAUGUGCAGUCUUCCCCUUAAAAGUUCCAACUUCUUUCUCCUCUCUCUCUCUCUGCCUCUUCUCUCUUCCUCCCUUCACUUCUCUCUGUGGCGCAUGGUGGUCAGCCAUUAACUUUGUUUCUCUUCUCUCUUACUCUCUCUACUCUGCCGGCCUCUAAUAAACUGGUUAAUGUAUUCUCUUAGUCUCAUGUCUCAUCUUGCACCCCCUUCUUCAUUUCUAAUUUAAGCAAAAGAAUAACAAAUACCACCCAAGGUUGACCUUGGCUUACACAUGCAUGUUCGAGCAUCCAUCCAUUCAUCCAUGCACACACAUGCACAUACACAAAAAAGGAAAAAGUGACAAGCACAAGGGAAGUCAAAGCGUUUGAGCAGAAAAGAAAAAUGAAAACUUCCAGGUACUGGUGGCACAUGUAUUUAAUCCCAGCACUCUGAAGGCAGAGGCAGCCAGAUCUCUGUGAGUUUGAGGCCAGCCUGGUCUAUAACUAGAGUUCCAGGGCAGGCUCCAAAGCAACAGAGAAACCCUGUCUCAAAAAAAAAAAAAAAAAAAGAAAGAAAGAAAGAAAGAAAGAAAGAAAGAAAACAUAUGAAUUUUUAAAUAUUUCUUCUAUUUACUCUUUGAAAGUUUCAUACAUGUAUAUAGUGGGGGUUUUUUUACUCAUUUUUCACUUCUAUUACCCUCUCUCAUACCCCCUCCCUCUCCUGCUGAAGCCCUUCCUCACACAAAGCCCCCCUGUGCCUUUAUGUCUUUUUAUGUAUGUGUGAGCCGCUGAAUUUUGUGUUACCUGCUCACAUAAGCAUGGCAGGAUGAUAUUUACUGGAGCAUGGGCUACUUUUCAAUAGGGGCACCGCUAAUUAGCAGUGAGUGUUAUUACUCCAAGCCUUCUCUCCAAUUUACUCUUCCAUCUUCCAAAUCCUUGGCUAUUAGAGCUUUGUUUGUCUGUUUGGACUAUUGCAACAGAAUGCAUCCAAUUGGGU